This 74-nucleotide transfer RNA is filed under the name Callorhinchus milii (elephant shark). RNAcentral describes it as "tRNA-Asn (GTT) (tRNA-Asn-GTT-24-1)". It matches the Rfam family "tRNA". From Rfam's summary of the family: Transfer RNA (tRNA) molecules are approximately 80 nucleotides in length. Their secondary structure includes four short double-helical elements and three loops (D, anti-codon, and T loops). The record is from Rfam by way of RNAcentral. Lineage: Eukaryota; Metazoa; Chordata; Chondrichthyes; Chimaeriformes; Callorhinchidae.
GUCUCUGUGGCGCAAUGGGUUAGCGCCCUCGGCUGUUAACCGAAAGAACGGUGGUUCGAGCCCACCCAGGGACG